This 439-nucleotide ribosomal RNA is filed under the name uncultured bacterium. Its description in RNAcentral is "partial 16S ribosomal RNA". It matches the Rfam family "Bacterial small subunit ribosomal RNA", at positions 339 to 795 of the family's 1533-position model. The record is from RNAcentral.
CUACGGGGUGCACCAGUGGGGAAUAUUGCACAAUGGAGGAAACUCUGAUGCAGCAACGCCGCGUGGAGGAUGACACUUUUCGGAGCGUAAACUCCUUUUAUAUAGGAAGAAGACGACGGUACUAUAUGAAUAAGCGCCGGCUAACUCCGUGCCAGCAGCCGCGGUAAUACGGAGGGCGCAAGCGUUACUCGGAAUCACUGGGCGUAAAGGGCGUGUAGGCGGAUUAAAGAGUCAGAAGUGAAAUCCUAUAGCUUAACUAUAGAACUGCUUCUGAAACUCUUAAUCUAGAAUAUGGGAGAGGUAGAUGGAAUUUCUGGUGUAGGGGUAACAUCCGUAGAGAUCAGAAGGAAUACCGAUUGCGAAGGCGAUCUACUAGAACAUUAUUGACGCUGAGACGCGAAAGCGUGGGGAGCAAACAGGAUUAGAUACCCUUGUAGUC